GAGUUUGAUCAUGGCUCAGAACGUACGCUGGCGGCACGCCUAACACAUGCAAGUCGAACGAAGUAGCAAUACUUAGUGGCAGACGGGUGAGUAACAUGUAGGUAUCUACCCUUUGGCCUGGAAUAACACGAGGAAACUUGUGCUAAUACCGGAUAAGUCUUUACGGAGAAAGCUUUAUGCACCAUUGGAUGAGCCUGCACUUGAUUAGUUUGUUGGUAGGGUAAUGGCCUACCAAGACUAUGAUCAAUAGCUGAUUUGAGAGGAUGAUCAGCCACAUUGGGACUGAGACACGGCCCAAACUCCUACGGGAGGCAGCAGUGGGGAAUCUUGUACAAUGGAGGAAACUCUGAUGCAGCGAUGCCGCGUGAGUGAAGAAGGCCCUUGGGUUGUAAAGCUCUUUCGUCGGGGAAGAAAAUGACUGUACCCGAAUAAGAAGGUCCGGCUAACUUCGUGCCAGCAGCCGCGGUAAUACGAAGGGACCUAGCGUAGUUCGGAAUUACUGGGCUUAAAGAGUUCGUAGGUGGUUGAAAAAGUUGGUGGUGAAAUCCCAGAGCUUAACUCUGGAACUGCCAUCAAAACUUUUCAGCUAGAGUAUGAUAGAGGAAAGCAGAAUUUCUAGUGUAGAGGUGAAAUUCGUAGAUAUUAGAAAGGAUACCAAUUGCGAAGGCAGCUUUCUGGAUCAUUACUGACACUGAGGAACGAAAGCAUGGGUAGCGAAGAGGAUUAGAUACCCUCGUAGUCCAUGCCGUAAACGAUGUGUGUUAGACGUCGGAAAUUUAUUUUCAGUGUCGCAGCGAAAGCGAUAAACACACCGCCUGGGGAGUACGACCGCAAGGUUAAAACUCAAAUGAAUUGACGGGGACCCGCACAAGUAGUGGAGCAUGUGGUUUAAUUCGAAGAUACGCGCAGAACCUUACCAACACUUGACAUGUUCGUCGCGACUCUAAGAGAUUAGAGUUUUCGGUUCGGCCGGACGAAACACAGGUGCUGCAUGGCUGUCGUCAGCUCGUGUCGUGAGAUGUUGGGUUAAGUCCCGCAGCGAGCGCAACCCUCACUUUAGUUGCCAUCAUUAAGUUGGGCACUCUGAAAGAACUGCCAGUGAUAAGCUGGAGGAAGGUGGGGAUGACGUCAAGUCCUCAUGGCCCUUACGUGUUGGGCUACACACGUGCUACAAUGGUAUUUACAACAGGAAGCAAAACGGCAACGUUAAGCAAAUCCCGAAAAGAUACCUCAGUUCGGAUUGCACUCUGCAACUCGAGUGCAUGAAGCUGGAAUUACUAGUAAUCGUGGAUCAGCGUGCCACGGUGAAUGCGUUCCCGGGUCUUGUACACACCGCCCGUCACACCAUGGGAGUUGGUUCUACCUUAAGGCAAGGUUUUAAACCCUUGACCACGGUAUAGUCAGCGACUGGGGUGAAGUCGUAACAAGGUAACC
This 1434-nucleotide ribosomal RNA is filed under the name uncultured marine bacterium. RNAcentral's name for it is "bacterial SSU rRNA". It matches the Rfam family "Bacterial small subunit ribosomal RNA". The record is from RNAcentral.